GGGUUGUGAGGUUAAGCGACUAAGCGUACACGGUGGAUGCCCUGGCAGUCAGAGGCGAUGAAGGACGUGCUAAUCUGCGAAAAGCGUCGGUAAGGUGAUAUGAACCGUUAUAACCGGCGAUGUCCGAAUGGGGAAACCCAGUGCAAUUCGUUGCACUAUCGUUAACUGAAUACAUAGGUUAACGAGGCGAACCGGGGGAACUGAAACAUCUAAGUACCCCGAGGAAAAGAAAUCAACCGAGAUUCCCCCAGUAGCGGCGAGCGAACGGGGAGCAGCCCAGAGUCUGAAUCAGCUUGUGUGUUAGUGGAACGGUCUGGAAAGUCCGACGGUACAGGGUGAUAGUCCCGUACACCAAAAUGCACAGGUUGUGAACUCGAAGAGUAGGGCGGGACACGUGGUAUCCUGUCUGAAUAUGGGGGGACCAUCCUCCAAGGCUAAAUACUCCUGACUGACCGAUAGUGAACCAGUACCGUGAGGGAAAGGCGAAAAGAACCCCGGCGAGGGGAGUGAAAAAGAACCUGAAACCGUGUACGUACAAGCAGUGGGAGCACCUUCGGGUGUGACUGCGUACCUUUUGUAUAAUGGGUCAGCGACUUAUAUUCUGUAGCAAGGUUAACCGUAUAGGGGAGCCGCAGGGAAACCGAGUCUUAACUGGGCGUUAAGUUGCAGGGUAUAGACCCGAAACCCGGUGAUCUAGCCAUGGGCAGGUUGAAGGUUGGGUAACACUAACUGGAGGACCGAACCGACUAAUGUUGAAAAAUUAGCGGAUGACUUGUGGCUGGGGGUGAAAGGCCAAUCAAACCGGGAGAUAGCUGGUUCUCCCCGAAAGCUAUUUAGGUAGCGCCUCGUGAACUCAUCUUCGGGGGUAGAGCACUGUUUCGGCUAGGGGGUCAUCCCGACUUACCAACCCGAUGCAAACUACGAAUACCGAAGAAUGUUAUCACGGGAGACACACGGCGGGUGCUAACGUCCGUCGUGAAGAGGGAAACAACCCAGACCGCCAGCUAAGGUCCCAAAGUCAUGGUUAAGUGGGAAACGAUGUGGGAAGGCACAGACAGCCAGGAUGUUGGCUUAGAAGCAGCCAUCAUUUAAAGAAAGCGUAAUAGCUCACUGGUCGAGUCGGCCUGCGCGGAAGAUGUAACGGGGCUAAACCAUGCACCGAAGCUGCGGCAGCGACACUAUGUGUUGUUGGGUAGGGGAGCGUUCUGUAAGCCUGCGAAGGUGUGCUGUGAGGCAUGCUGGAGGUAUCAGAAGUGCGAAUGCUGACAUAAGUAACGAUAAAGCGGGUGAAAAGCCCGCUCGCCGGAAGACCAAGGGUUCCUGUCCAACGUUAAUCGGGGCAGGGUGAGUCGACCCCUAAGGCGAGGCCGAAAGGCGUAGUCGAUGGGAAACAGGUUAAUAUUCCUGUACUUGGUGUUACUGCGAAGGGGGGACGGAGAAGGCUAUGUUAGCCGGGCGACGGUUGUCCCGGUUUAAGCAUGUAGGCUGGUUGUCCAGGCAAAUCCGGAUAAUCAAGGCUGAGGUGUGAUGACGAGGCACUACGGUGCUGAAGUAACAAAUGCCCUGCUUCCAGGAAAAGCCUCUAAGCAUCAGGUAACAUCAAAUCGUACCCCAAACCGACACAGGUGGUCAGGUAGAGAAUACCAAGGCGCUUGAGAGAACUCGGGUGAAGGAACUAGGCAAAAUGGUGCCGUAACUUCGGGAGAAGGCACGCUGGUGUGUAGGUGAAGUCCCUGCGGAUGGAGCUGAGACCAGUCGAAGAUACCAGCUGGCUGCAACUGUUUAUUAAAAACACAGCACUGUGCAAACACGAAAGUGGACGUAUACGGUGUGACGCCUGCCCGGUGCCGGAAGGUUAAUUGAUGGGGUUAUCCGUAAGGAGAAGCUCUUGAUCGAAGCCCCGGUAAACGGCGGCCGUAACUAUAACGGUCCUAAGGUAGCGAAAUUCCUUGUCGGGUAAGUUCCGACCUGCACGAAUGGCGUAAUGAUGGCCAGGCUGUCUCCACCCGAGACUCAGUGAAAUUGAACUCGCUGUGAAGAUGCAGUGUACCCGCGGCAAGACGGAAAGACCCCGUGAACCUUUACUAUAGCUUGACACUGAACAUUGAGCCUUGAUGUGUAGGAUAGGUGGGAGGCUUUGAAGCGUGGACGCCAGUCUGCGUGGAGCCAACCUUGAAAUACCACCCUUUAAUGUUUGAUGUUCUAACGUUGGCCCCUGACCGGGGUUGCGGACAGUGUCUGGUGGGUAGUUUGACUGGGGCGGUCUCCUCCCAAAGCGUAACGGAGGAGCACGAAGGUUAGCUAAUCCUGGUCGGACAUCAGGAGGUUAGUGCAAUGGCAUAAGCUAGCUUGACUGCGAGCGUGACGGCGCGAGCAGGUGCGAAAGCAGGUCAUAGUGAUCCGGUGGUUCUGAAUGGAAGGGCCAUCGCUCAACGGAUAAAAGGUACUCCGGGGAUAACAGGCUGAUACCGCCCAAGAGUUCAUAUCGACGGCGGUGUUUGGCACCUCGAUGUCGGCUCAUCACAUCCUGGGGCUGAAGUAGGUCCCAAGGGUAUGGCUGUUCGCCAUUUAAAGUGGUACGCGAGCUGGGUUUAGAACGUCGUGAGACAGUUCGGUCCCUAUCUGCCGUGGGCGCUGGAGAAUUGAGGGGGGCUGCUCCUAGUACGAGAGGACCGGAGUGGACGCAUCACUGGUGUUCGGGUUGUCAUGCCAAUGGCACUGCCCGGUAGCUAAAUGCGGAAGAGAUAAGUGCUGAAAGCAUCUAAGCACGAAACUUGCCCCGAGAUGAGUUCUCCCUGAGACUUUAAGUCUCCUGAAGGAACGUUAAAGACGAUGACGUUGAUAGGCCGGGUGUGUAAGCGCAGCGAUGCGUUGAGCUAACCGAUACUAAUGAACCGUGAGGCUUAACCUUACAACGCCGAAG
This 2923-nucleotide ribosomal RNA is filed under the name Klebsiella pneumoniae. RNAcentral's name for it is "23S ribosomal RNA". It matches the Rfam family "Bacterial large subunit ribosomal RNA". The record is from RNAcentral. Lineage: Bacteria; Pseudomonadati; Pseudomonadota; Gammaproteobacteria; Enterobacterales; Enterobacteriaceae.